UACGGAGGGUGCAAGCGUUAAUCGGAAUUACUGGGCGUAAAGCGCACGCAGGCGGCUGAGUCAGUCGAUUGUGAAAGCCCUGGGCUUAACCUGGGAAUUGCAGUCGAUACUACUCAGCUAGAGUAUGGGAGAGGGCAGUGGAAUUCCCGGUGUAGCGGUGAAAUGCGUAGAUAUCGGGAGGAACAUCAGUGGCGAAGGCGGCUGCCUGGACGACACCUGACGCUGAGGCGCGAAAGCUAGGGGAGCAAACGGG
Molecule: ribosomal RNA, 253 nt
Filed under: uncultured bacterium
Lineage: Bacteria
Description: partial 16S ribosomal RNA
Rfam family: Bacterial small subunit ribosomal RNA
Source: RNAcentral